Molecule: long non-coding RNA, 387 nt
Organism: Anser brachyrhynchus (Pink-footed goose)
Lineage: Eukaryota; Metazoa; Chordata; Aves; Anseriformes; Anatidae
Source: Ensembl
AUGGUCUUAGAGAAUCCCAUCCAAGUAGCCAAACGAUCCCUUUCUGGAGACUGGUUUGUGCUGCCUGAAAACUGUGGACUGGUUCUCUACUUCGAAUUCCUUACCAAGAACUUCAUUUUUCUUGGGAGGUGCCUGGUCCCAGCUGUCGUACACAGCUUAGCAGAGGCAGCGCAGAAGCUCCCCAGGCCAACAGCCCAGCUGCACAGAAGUGUACCCCGAGCCUGUCAUCUCCCCCCGCUGUGCAGUGGUGGUGACCACGAGGCUUCAGUGCCCCAGGACGGCUCACCUGUGCCCCUGCAAGAGCGGGGCUGUGCCUUACAAAGUCCAGACCUGUGCUGCGCUGCUCUAAGAGCUCAGGGUCACACAGCACAAGAUUCAUGGCUCUGA